GUAGAUGACUGAGGAACAGAGCGUGCAGGAGCAUCUCAGCCACUUUCAGAAGAUCCUCACCAACCUCCUCAAUGUUGGUGAGAAAGUUGAGGAGAAGACCAGGAUGUUGGUCUUGCUGGUGUCGCUUUCUCCAUAUGAGUCCUUGGUGACUGCUCUUCUAGUGGGGAAGAGCAAUAUCCAGAUGGAUGAGGUCACCACGAUGAUUCUUCAGAACAAGAUUCUUAGACGGGAGAACCCAACUUCGAGCUCAGACGGCAGCUCAGCUUUGACGAUUUUUGGAGGAGCAGGAGACGGCAGACGGAGCGAUAGGAGAUCAUGAUGAGAGUGAUCCAAGUCCAGAAUGAGAGACUUGAGCAAGAUCAGAUGUUAUCAAUGUGACGAGUUGGAACAUCUAGUCAGAAAUUAUCCUCAAUUCAAGGAUCGGAUGCGGGCUACUACAGUGACGGCCUGUAGCGAGUCAGAGAAUGAUGUCCUGGAGAUAUCUGAUGAGGUAUCUACUUCUUUCCAGUAGUGAAUUUUAGAUUCUGCAUGCAUCUAUUAUAUAUGUUGCAGAGAGGAGCAGUUUGACUUUCUGGAAAGCAGUGAGGGCACUGUUCAUCUGUCGGAUGGAUCGAGCUGUGCGAUCAAAGGUAUCAGGAUAGUCAGCUGGAGGACACAUGGUGCAGUGAGGAGAUUAGGGGAGGUCUGAUAUAUAUCCAGCUUCAAGAGAAAUCUUAUUUUUCUCAACAGACUGGAUCGACUGGCUACAGGUGGAGAGCUGAUGGAAGAAUCCUGAAGGUCAUGCGCGGCAAUAGGAUCGUGAUGCAGAGAAAGUAGUAUAGACGAUACUACCUCUUUGCAGGGAGUCUAGUACGAGAUGGAGCUCCAGGAGCAGGUGGAUCGGGCAUGAGACGAGAGAUCCGGAAGGAUGACAGACGAUGUCGUAAGGUGAAGUUCCUAUUAUCGCAGAAGACUAUGCUGAGCAGGUCUCAGGUCAGAGAGGACAACACGUGAUGGAGAUGGGAUUGAGCGGUCUGGCUCGACUCCCAUGUUUGUCCAUCCAUAAGCAGCAGGCAUUUACCUCAGGGCAUGGGGGCGAGAGAUAAGCUCUCAGAGUUAUUGUGGAGGUCAAAUAUUGAGUCGAGAGAGAUUGUUAAGAUUUGAUGUCUCGAGAUUUAAUUUAUAAGAAGCCCACAAUGAGGUCCAGGACGACGAACGGAGUCCAACGAGCCUAAGAAACAGUCCAAACAGAGUCCAGAUGGAGAUAUAGCGUGCGAAAGAAGGUCAAGGCAUGGUGGCACAGCCCACAGAGCAGCGGAGGCCGAUGGUGGGCUAACGGAGUCCGACGGUGGGCCGACGAAGGCCGGCAGUGGGCCAGUGGAGGUCGACAGCGGCCCAAUUUGCGGACGUGCUGGCUGCCACCAUUUUUUCUCGCGGUCCAUGGUGGACCGCGGGGUGUUGCACUGUCCACGCGAUCGCUGUGGACCGAUCGGGUGGUUCCUGUUCGAUUUCUCACGGUCUACGUGGACCAAAGGAGGUUUCUCAGGUGUUUCUCGCGGCUCACUAUGUUUUUGGUGGAUCGGAGACUUAUGUUGCGCGAUCGAACCGUUAGGACAGGAGCCGAUCUUGAUCUGGCAGCUGGAGAGGCAGUUUGACGCAAAUAGGAAUCGAUUUCUGAUCUGGUUUGGUUUCUGAGGCCUAUAAACUCACUCUGUGGCAACAGAGACAGGUGUGGUGAUUCGGCAGAGACCUAAAACCCGUGGAGUAGAGAGCAACAGCAGCCAAUAGAGAACAGAAGUACAUGGGUGCUUUGGAUAGACUAUCAGGCAGCAGACAAUAGUUGUUCAGGGGUUCAGAGGAUCUUUUGGAUUCUAGUGAGAGCUUUAUAAGGGUAGCUUCUAGUUGAGAGAGAUUGUGUAUAAGGGUUAAGAGUGUGAGAAUCUCCUCUUGUACUUAUUCCUUUCUCAUAGUGAAUCUUUGUAUGUCCCGUGGAGGUAAGUCUUGGGCUGAUCCAUAGACUUGAUUUUUUUCUUUUGUCUUGUAUUUAUUUUUUCUUCUUUCUCUUGCUGAUCGAGUGCAGCGCGAGUGAUAUCGAAAAGGUCCUGUGGUGGUAGUGUCUUGGCCAGACAUUCCCAACAGAUUUUAAGGAACACAACCUUUGAUACUUGAAUGGAUAAUAUGGUCAAGGGAUGUAUCUAAUUGUCGCAUUGGUCUUAAUUCAUUUGAACAUGAAGUGACUUGUCCUCAUCCUUGUUUAUAGUAUUUCAUUUUGACUCUUUUGUUGUAGGGCUUACUCCAAAACAUGCGUUUAUCAAGAGUUGAGCUUUUUCUACUUUGCCUUUUCUUUUCUACUAGCAGUUGAUUAACUGAGGCAUUUGAUUUAUGAUUAUUGUUUGUCGCAAUUAAUGUUUGUGUCUAAUUUGUGUGCAUUGCAACAAACUUUCAAUUCAAGAAUGCCAGUUUGGGUUCUCUGGAGCAGAUGAGCAUCCAGAAUGCAGUGCAGAAUUUUCAAGGCACAGCAAAAGACUGUGCUUGCCACUAGCACGAAAACAGAAGUUCCUGCCUCUGUUACUCUCAUGAUUAUGGUACUUGCAAUAAACUCAUAUUAUCAUUUUAUAUUAUCAUCGUGUUGGAAUUUAUUUGAAUAAUUGCUUUCUGUGAUUUAAAUAUAUACUAGCAUCCUGAUAAUGCACUAAUGAUGUGCAGUAUACAUACGUACUCUUUCUGUCAUAUAUCUUUCACGUGAUUUAGGGCAGCACAUCAGUGAUCUCUAACUUAUAUGAUGCAAGAGUGGAUGGCAGAUCUGAGCACCCAAGGGUUCCCUCCUGUCAAUGAAUCCUGGUCACAUCCUUAAACAGAUGUCUGUAAAAGGGAAAGUGCAUGUGAUUUGUCAUGGAAAAUAUGGUGAACGGAUAUGAGGGGUGGUUAGGUUGCAGAUGAGGGUCUGAUUAGGGGUUAAUGAAGAAAGCAUGGGAAAGAGUCCUGGAGCAUUACAAGAAAAGGUAUGGCCCACAGCUCAAGCAAGCAGCAUGCAAGAAUCAUUAAUGUCUAUAUCUUUUUGAGAAGAUUUAUUGCCUGAAUGGUGCUAGCUUUGGAAAAUGGAACCUUCUAUCGUUGUUGUUUGAAUUGUCAUCACCUGUGCAAUAGAAGGAAGGGGUGGGGGGCCUUAGGUGAACAAUUGUGAGAGUUUAUUUCUGGUAUGAUUCAAUCAUCAUCUUGGAGAAGAGUAUGUGUAUCUUUUAUUUUUUGCACCAUUGAACAAUUUUUCUUUCAGACUGAUGGCACUUUCCUAAUACUCGUGUAAUAGCAACUUGUGAAGCUGUCGAACGAAGUGUUGCAGCUGCAGAGCAUAUCUCCCAGGUUAAGUGGUCAUGUACUGAUGGUUGUAGUUCCUUCUGCAUUGCUUGAGUUGGUCUGGGUGCUAACUAAGCUAUUUGCAGUUAAUGAACAUCUUUAACUCAUAUCUGUGAGAAUAUCCUUUUUUUUUUUUGCAAUGCAUUGGUACGUAUUUACUGCUCAACCACAUCCUUGCAGGCAAAAUUUAAAUGCAUUUAGUUUGCAUGUGAGUAUUUUGGAAUCUCUAUGUUUUUGUAAUCUGACUAACAAGAAAAAUAAUUUCUAUUUUUUGUUCUGAAGGCACCAUAAAGAGCAUAAAUUUGAUAAGGCUUCUUCCCCUGUUUUGUACAUUAUUACUGGACUAUUUGAAGCAUAAAAUGGACUUGUUUGCAUUGGCACUUAUUAGCUUUCUGGUGAAAAUAAAUUACCUUUUCAUUUUAAUGAAGAAAGCACGCUCUCUCUUUAUGAAAAUGUUCAAGACUAUCAUUCAUCUUCGUGAAAUAUGAAGUGACAUUUAAUCACAGCCUGUAUUUUAUUUCAACUUUUAUGUAUCUCUUAAAAAUUAGUGCAUUUUCAAUCUCUGAAGAUUAUGGUGCUGGUUAAUUAUCAAAUAAUGAUCACGAUGUUAGAAGAAACUUGAAGAUGUUUACUCAUCUAGCCAGGCACCUGGUCAUCCAUGCAUUUUCAGGUUAUGGGUGUGAAAUUUCAGAUUAGUCGAAACUGCUUCUUGGCAUAGUUACUUUAAGCAAAUGUUUCAGUUGUCGUAAGUUUUCAUUGUAAACCUUUAAGCAGAGAAAGGUUAGCUUUUAACCAGUAUAGGAAAUUAUUUAGAAGCCAUUGUUUGUAACAUGCAUCACUUGGAUGAAAAUUCUUUGAUCCGUUUAUCGAGGGAUCUAUAAUGAAUUUUGUUUGAAAGUAUUUCUAGAAACAUUAAAGGAGGAUAUGAGUUUCAUUUCUAUAAAUGUCUGACAUCAUGCAAUUUAGCAGAAUCAGAGAACUUCCUCAGAAGUGUAAGAUAGUGGCAACAUAUUCUGGCAUCCUGAUCUAUGCCUUUGAUUAUUAUCUUUAUACUAGUUGUAUGUAGGCACACAUGCACACAUCAACUUCUGGCUCUUUUUUUUUUAAUUUUAAGGAUGGAAAGUUGAACAUAGUGUUUCAAAUAAGGCUCACUGAAUCAUACCGAACUGGUCAGUGCGGAACAUACCAAAUCGGUUUGGUCAGUUACCGGCAUGGUUUGGCCAAUCGAAACGAGAUGUAUUAGCCUCUCCCGAAACUGCCUCCAGCUCUCCCAAUGCCCUAAAAGACCUCACCUU
Molecule: non-coding RNA, 4628 nt
Organism: Elaeis guineensis (African oil palm)
Lineage: Eukaryota; Viridiplantae; Streptophyta; Magnoliopsida; Arecales; Arecaceae
Source: RefSeq, a predicted model, not a curated record